Geminocystis sp. NIES-3709 is the source of this 117-nucleotide non-coding RNA. The record is from Rfam. Lineage: Bacteria; Bacillati; Cyanobacteriota; Cyanophyceae; Chroococcales; Geminocystaceae.
GCUGGUGUGUGUAGCAUUGUGGAACCACUGCGAACCAUCCCGAACUCGUGGGUGAAACGCAAUCGCGGCGACGAUACUAAUGGGGUAGCCCGUUGGGACAAUAGUUCCAUGCCAGCU